UUGAUAGAAACCAAAUCAGAGGUAUAUCACUGUUAAUGAUAAAAUUGAAUUUUCCAUUCCUAUCAAG
This 67-nucleotide transfer RNA is filed under the name Segonzacia mesatlantica. Its description in RNAcentral is "tRNA-Asn". Lineage: Eukaryota; Metazoa; Arthropoda; Malacostraca; Decapoda; Bythograeidae. The record is from RNAcentral.